GAAACUAUUAUGGAAUUGAAUGCUAUGUAUCAAAGAGAAUAAUUUAUAAAAAAAAUAAGAUUUAUUUUAAUUAUAUAAACUCUAAGAGAAAUUAAAUACUAAACGAAGUGAAUUGAAAUAUCUUAGUAACUUUAGGAAAACAAAUCAAAAGAGAUUCUAUGAAUAGCGUGAGUGAAAGUAGAGCAGCCUAAAAAGUAAAACGGUACAAAACUGUUUGAAUAAAAUGGGGAACCUUCCUCAAAGGCUAAAUAUGGUACAUAAGCAAUAGUGAAAAGUACCAUGAGGGAACUAAGUGAAAAUAGUAGUUUUAUAAGCAGUUCGAAAAAAAGAACGUACCUUUUGCAUAAUGGGUCACCAAGUUAACAUUAGAUGCGAGCAUACGCGUAGUUAAACCGAACGUUAAAAUAACGAAAUAGUGUCUAAAGUUAGACCCGAAGCACGGUGAUUUUACCAUAGUCAGGAUUAUAAAAGUCCGAACGGGUGAUUGUUGCAAAAAUCUCCGAGGAACUGUGGUAGGUGUAGUGAAAGACAACACUGACUGUGAUAGCUGGUUUUCUGCGAAACCUAUAAUAGUAGGCAAUUUAAGAAAAUAUCUUAGCAGGUACAUAAUUUAAUCUCAGACAAGACGUGUAAACGUUUUAUUUUGUACAAAUUGGGGGAUCAUGAAGAUCUUAUCAGUGAGUAUGUAGAUUCGAAAUGGCAAAGAUAUCCUCUUGAAUUAUCAGACAUAGAAUGAUAAGGUUGUAUGUCAAAAGGGAAACAGCCCAGAACAAGAGUUAAGGUUCCUAAAUUAUUAGUUAAGUGAAAUUAAGAAAGUUUUUAUUAAAGUCGACAAGGAAAUAGGCUUAGAAGCAGCCAUAAUUUUAUGACCUCGUAACAGAGCGCUUGUUAAGUUAUAAAAGCAUCGAAAAUUUAACGGAUCUAAACAAUAUACCGAAACCUUGUCUUUUUACAUAACAUAUGUUCACUUAUAGAUAAUAAAUCUUGAUAUGUUCUAUAUCCAUAUAUAAGAAUAUGUUAUUAUGUAGGCUUAAGAAGCAUAUAUAUAAAAGGUAAAAAUAGUUUAAUAUAAAUAGGUUGUAUAGAGUAAGUACAAGACUUGCAUACUUCGUAUGUAAACUUCUUUUUUCUUGUAACUAGAAAUGAUAGUAGUACAACUCUUUGUUACAAUAUUGUAACAAUAUUCUAAUAAUAUUGCAUUUAAUUAUACAGUAGUCUAACACUAUGUUAAUUAACUAUUUAUAGGGAACUAUCCUUAUAGUAAAAAGGGUAGCAGAACGUUGAGUGAAUAAUGAAUUUUAUUUUUUAAAUAGAAUUCUAAUAAUAUAACUCAAGUGAUAAUGGUGACAUGAGUAACUAAAAGAAAAUUUUCCGCCUUAAGCUUAUGGUUAGAGUUAAGUAACGGCCUCUAAGUUUAAUAUCUAAAGAUUUAAACGAUGAGAAAAUCUUUUUUACUAAAAACAACAUUUUAGUGUAAAAUGUGCAGGAAAAAUAGUAAAUAUAUUUGGAUAUCUGGUCAUACAGACUAGAAAACAAAUGAACAAUAACCGUACCUAGAUUCUAUUAAAAGUAAGCUAGUAGAGAAUACGAAGGCGUAAAUGAGCUAACAAUCAUAAAGGAACUCGGCAAAUUGACUACUGUACCUUCGGAAUAAGGAGGGCUCGUAUUUCUUGACCCAUAUCAAGAAAAAUGAAGAAGCAUAAAAUAAUGUUGUACGACUGUUUAAUUAAAACACAGCACUUUGCUGAAAGAUAAAAAAUCUAAGUAUAAAGUGUGAAAUCUGCUCAGUGCCGGCCGGUUAACAGAGAUUAUUAAAUAUCCUAAUAUUUGAAAUCAACGGAAACCCCGGUUAAAAGCGGCCUUAACGUGAGGGUCCUAAGGUAGCGAAAUGCCUUGGCCGUUAAAUGCGGUCUUGCAUGAAUGGUGUAACGAUACAACAGCUGUCUCUAUGAUUGACUCAGUGAAAUUG
Molecule: non-coding RNA, 1969 nt
Filed under: Hirsutella minnesotensis 3608
Lineage: Eukaryota; Fungi; Ascomycota; Sordariomycetes; Hypocreales; Ophiocordycipitaceae
Description: Bacterial large subunit ribosomal RNA
Rfam family: Bacterial large subunit ribosomal RNA
Source: Rfam by way of RNAcentral